GUACACGCUGUGACUAGCAUAUCAAUAAGCGGAGGAAAAGAAACUAACAAGGAUUCCCUUAGUAACGGCGAGUGAAGCGGGAAGAGCUCAAAUUUGAAAUCUUCAAGGUUUUACCUUGACGAAUUGUAGUUUAAAGAAGUGUUUUCUGCUGAAGUUUUGGUAAAAGUUCUUUGGAAUAGGACAUCAUAGAGGGUGAGAAUCCCGUAUUUGACCAUUAUUUUCAGCUUUGUGAUACACUUUCAAAGAGUCGGAUUGUUUGGGAAUGUAGUCCAAAAUGGGUGGUAAAUUUCAUCUAAAGCUAAAUAUUGGCGAGAGACCGAUAGCGAACAAGUACCGUGAGGGAAAGAUGAAAAGAACUUUGAAAAGAGAGUUAAACAGUACGUGAAAUUGUCAAAAGGGAAGCGUUUGACACCAGUGUUGUUUUCUCGAAAAUCAAUUAAAAAUGGCUCGAUUUUGUAUUGCUGAGACCUUAAAAGCUCACUGUACAUUUUUCGUGUCUUUUUUAAUGCACUUUUCGUUUAACAAGUCAACAUCAGUUUCUUUUGUUGUAAAAGGGUCAUUGGAAGGUGGCUUUCUUUUCGGAGAAAGUGUUUAUAGCCUUUGGCCUCUGCAAUCGGAGAGACUGAGGUCUGCAGCGUAGACUCUUCGGGGUUAGAUACAUUUGUGCUAAGUUAUAGCUUUUUAUAGACAACUUGUUGACUAUAAUUAGUCUUGUAGCUUACUCGCUUAUGUUAUUUUACCUACGCUUAGGAUGUUGACGCAUGAGAUAUACGC
Molecule: ribosomal RNA, 774 nt
Filed under: uncultured Neocallimastigales
Lineage: Eukaryota; Fungi; Neocallimastigomycota; Neocallimastigomycetes; Neocallimastigales
Description: partial large subunit ribosomal RNA
Rfam family: Eukaryotic large subunit ribosomal RNA
Source: RNAcentral